RNAcentral lists this unclassified non-coding RNA (470 nucleotides) under plant metagenome. Its description in RNAcentral is "partial contains small subunit ribosomal RNA, internal transcribed spacer 1, and 5.8S ribosomal RNA". The record is from RNAcentral.
UCUCCGUAGGUGAACCUGCGGAGGGAUCAUUCACAUGCUCCAACCUCUCUCAACAAACUGUGAACUGUUUUGCCGUACAUGGCAGAAGAGUAGAGUGUGUUAGUGUAUGAGACCUGAAUGGAGUUAGCUUUAUGUUAACUGGGCUCUACUGCUAUCCGAGACUUGUCUCCUCUCUCUUUUACCAUGUCGGCCCUAUCUCUAGUUUAGCCUUUACAGUUGAUACCCAUCUCAAUCACUGUCUAUGGUCUAUUCUAGGGAGCCCCCACACACCACCUCUGUACAUUCUUUUGAGUAUAACACAUACUUCGGUGUGUGAAGUACUUGGCGAAUGUCGAACAUUCGAUUACCAAUGAUAGCAUGUUCUUUCUGCAAAGAGAGUGAAUGCUUGACUCUGUCUAUCAUUUUCAUGAUUUACAGCAAGUCAUUCUUAACAUAGAGAACAACUCUAUGCCCUGGAUAUCUUGGUUCUC